UCUCGGCCGAUACUUGCUCGAGGCGGGU
This 28-nucleotide small RNA is filed under the name Bombyx mori (domestic silkworm). RNAcentral describes it as "ovarian small RNA-29766". The record is from RNAcentral. Lineage: Eukaryota; Metazoa; Arthropoda; Insecta; Lepidoptera; Bombycidae.